GGGACACGUGGUAUCCUGUCUGAAUAUGGGGGGACCAUCCUCCAAGGCUAAAUACUCCUGACUGACCGAUAGUGAACCAGUACCGUGAGGGAAAGGCGAAAAGAACCCCGGCGAGGGGAGUGAAAAAGAACCUGAAACCGUGUACGUACAAGCAGUGGGAGCACAGGUUUACCUGUGUGACUGCGUACCUUUUGUAUAAUGGGUCAGCGACUUAUAUUCUGUAGCAAGGUUAACCGUAUAGGGGAGCCGGAGGGAAACCGAGUCUUAAUUGGGCGUUAAGUUGCAGGGUAUAGACCCGAAACCCGGUGAUCUAGCCAUGGGCAGGUUGAAGGUUGGGUAACACUAACUGGAGGACCGAACCGACUAAUGUUGAAAAAUUAGCGGAUGACCUGUGGCUGGGGGUGAAAGGCCAAUCAAACCGGGAGAUAGCUGGUUCUCCCCGAAAGCUAUUUAGGUAGCGCCUCGUGAAUUCAUCUCCGGGGGUAGAGCACUGUUUCGGCUAGGGGGCCAUCCCGGCUUACCAACCCGAUGCAAACUGCGAAUACCGGAGAAUGUUAUCACGGGAGACACACGGCGGGUGCUAACGUCCGUCGUGAAGAGGGAAACAACCCAGACCGCCAGCUAAGGUCCCAAAGUCAUGGUUAAGUGGGAAACGAUGUGGGAAGGCCCAGACAGCCAGGAUGUUGGCUUAGAAGCAGCCAUCAUUUAAAGAAAGCGUAAUAGCUCACUGGUCGAGUCGGCCUGCGCGGAAGAUGUAACGGGGCUAAACCAUGCACCGAAGCUGCGGCAGCGACACUGUGUGUUGUUGGGUAGGGGAGCGUUCUGUAAGCCUGUGAAGGUGUGUCGUGAGGCAUGCUGGAGGUAUCAGAAGUGCGAAUGCUGACAUAAGUAACGAUAAAGCGGGUGAAAAGCCCGCUCGCCGGAAGACCAAGGGUUCCUGUCCAACGUUAAUCGGGGCAGGGUGAGUCGACCCCUAAGGCGAGGCCGAAAGGCGUAGUCGAUGGGAAACGGGUUAAUAUUCCCGUACUUGGUGUUACUGCGAAGGGGGGACGGAGAAGGCUAUGUUGGCCGGGCGACGGUUGUCCCGGUUUAAGCGUGUAGGUGUGUGUUCCAGGUAAAUCCGGUUCACUUUAACACUGAGGCGUGACGACGAGGCACUACGGUGCUGAAGCAACAAAUGCCCUGCUUCCAGGAAAAGCCUCUAAGCAUCAGGUAACAUCAAAUCGUACCCCAAACCGACACAGGUGGUCAGGUAGAGAAUACCAAGGCGCUUGAGAGAACUCGGGUGAAGGAACUAGGCAAAAUGGUGCCGUAACUUCGGGAGAAGGCACGCUGACACGUAGGUGAAGUGAUUUACUCAUGGAGCUGAAGUCAGUCGAAGAUACCAGCUGGCUGCAACUGUUUAUUAAAAACACAGCACUGUGCAAACACGAAAGUGGACGUAUACGGUGUGACGCCUGCCCGGUGCCGGAAGGUUAAUUGAUGGGGUCAGCGCAAGCGAAGCUCCUGAUCGAAGCCCCGGUAAACGGCGGCCGUAACUAUAACGGUCCUAAGGUAGCGAAAUUCCUUGUCGGGUAAGUUCCGACCUGCACGAAUGGCGUAAUGAUGGCCAGGCUGUCUCCACCCGAGACUCAGUGAAAUUGAACUCGCUGUGAAGAUGCAGUGUACCCGCGGCAAGACGGAAAGACCCCGUGAACCUUUACUAUAGCUUGACACUGAACAUUGAGCCUUGAUGUGUAGGAUAGGUGGGAGGCUUUGAAGCGUGGACGCCAGUCUGCGUGGAGCCGACCUUGAAAUACCACCCUUUAAUGUUUGAUGUUCUAACGUGGACCCGUGAUCCGGGUUGCGGACAGUGUCUGGUGGGUAGUUUGACUGGGGCGGUCUCCUCCUAAAGAGUAACGGAGGAGCACGAAGGUUGGCUAAUCCUGGUCGGACAUCAGGAGGUUAGUGCAAUGGCAUAAGCCAGCUUGACUGCGAGCGUGACGGCGCGAGCAGGUGCGAAAGCAGGUCAUAGUGAUCCGGUGGUUCUGAAUGGAAGGGCCAUCGCUCAACGGAUAAAAGGUACUCCGGGGAUAACAGGCUGAUACCGCCCAAGAGUUCAUAUCGACGGCGGUGUUUGGCACCUCGAUGUCGGCUCAUCACAUCCUGGGGCUGAAGUAGGUCCCAAGGGUAUGGCUGUUCGCCAUUUAAAGUGGUACGCGAGCUGGGUUUAGAACGUCGUGAGACAGUUCGGUCCCUAUCUGCCGUGGGCGCUGGAGAACUGAGGGGGGCUGCUCCUAGUACGAGAGGACCGGAGUGGACGCAUCACUGGUGUUCGGGUUGUCAUGCC
Molecule: ribosomal RNA, 2329 nt
Filed under: Salmonella enterica subsp. enterica serovar Stanley
Lineage: Bacteria; Pseudomonadati; Pseudomonadota; Gammaproteobacteria; Enterobacterales; Enterobacteriaceae
Description: partial 23S ribosomal RNA
Rfam family: Bacterial large subunit ribosomal RNA
Source: RNAcentral